UACAGAGGAUGCAAGCGUUAUCCGGAAUUAUUGGGCGUAAAGCGUCUGUAGGUGGCUUUUUAAGUCCGCCGUCAAAUCCCAGGGCUCAACUCUGGACAGGCGGUGGAAACUACCAAGCUGGAGUACGGUAGGGGCGGAGGGAAUUUCCGGUGGAGCGGUGAAAUGCGUAGAGAUCGGGAAGAACAUCAACGGCGAAAGCAGUCUGCUGGGCCGAGACUGACACUGAGAGACGAAAGCGAGGGGAGCGAAUGGG
This 253-nucleotide ribosomal RNA is filed under the name uncultured bacterium. RNAcentral's name for it is "partial 16S ribosomal RNA". It matches the Rfam family "Bacterial small subunit ribosomal RNA", at positions 524 to 776 of the family's 1533-position model. The record is from RNAcentral.